GCGGAUGACAGGAGCUUGCUCCUGAAUUCAGCGGCGGACGGGUGAGUAAUGCCUAGGAAUCUGCCUGGUAGUGGGGGACAACGUUUCGAAAGGAACGCUAAUACCGCAUACGUCCUACGGGAGAAAGCAGGGGACCUUCGGGCCUUGCGCUAUCAGAUGAGCCUAGGUCGGAUUAGCUAGUUGGUGAGGUAAUGGCUCACCAAGGCGACGAUCCGUAACUGGUCUGAGAGGAUGAUCAGUCACACUGGAACUGAGACACGGUCCAGACUCCUACGGGAGGCAGCAGUGGGGAAUAUUGGACAAUGGGCGAAAGCCUGAUCCAGCCAUGCCGCGUGUGUGAAGAAGGUCUUCGGAUUGUAAAGCACUUUAAGUUGGGAGGAAGGGUUGUAGAUUAAUACUCUGCAAUUUUGACGUUACCGACAGAAUAAGCACCGGCUAACUCUGUGCCAGCAGCCGCGGUAAUACAGAGGGUGCAAGCGUUAAUCGGAAUUACUGGGCGUAAAGCGCGCGUAGGUGGUUCGUUAAGUUGGAUGUGAAAUCCCCGGGCUCACCUGGGAACUGCAUUCAAAACUGUCGAGCUAGAGUAUGGUAGAGGGUGGUGGAAUUUCCUGUGUAGCGGUGAAAUGCGUAGAUAUAGGAAGGAACACCAGUGGCGAAGGCGACCACCUGGACUGAUACUGACACUGAGGUGCGAAAGCGUGGGGAGCAAACAGGAUUAGAUACCCUGGUAGUCCACGCCGUAAACGAUGUCAACUAGCCGUUGGGAGCCUUGAGCUCUUAGUGGCGCAGCUAACGCAUUAAGUUGACCGCCUGGGGAGUACGGCCGCAAGGUUAAAACUCAAAUGAAUUGACGGGGGCCCGCACAAGCGGUGGAGCAUGUGGUUUAAUUCGAUGCAACGCGAAGAACCUUACCUGGCCUUGACAUCCACGGAAUUCGGCAGAGAUGCCUUAGUGCCUUCGGGAACCGUGAGACAGGUGCUGCAUGGCUGUCGUCAGCUCGUGUUGUGAAAUGUU
Molecule: ribosomal RNA, 1014 nt
Filed under: uncultured bacterium
Lineage: Bacteria
Description: bacterial SSU rRNA
Rfam family: Bacterial small subunit ribosomal RNA
Source: RNAcentral